RNAcentral lists this ribosomal RNA (570 nucleotides) under uncultured bacterium. RNAcentral's name for it is "bacterial SSU rRNA". It matches the Rfam family "Bacterial small subunit ribosomal RNA", at positions 69 to 637 of the family's 1533-position model. The record is from RNAcentral.
GUAACAGGUCUUCGGAUGCUGACGAGUGGCGAACGGGUGAGUAAUACAUCGGAACGUGCCCGAUCGUGGGGGAUAACGGAGCGAAAGCUUUGCUAAUACCGCAUACCAUCUACGGAUGAAAGCAGGGGACCGCAAGGCCUUGCGCGGACGGAGCGGCCGAUGGCAGAUUAGGUAGUUGGUGGGAUAAAAGCUUACCAAGCCCACUAUCUGUAACUGGUCUGAGAGGACGACCAGCCACACUGGGACUGAGACACGGCCCACACUCCUACGGGAGGCAGCAGUGGGGAAUUUUGGACAAUGGGCGAAAGCCUGAUCCAGCAUGCCGCGUGCAGGAUGAAGGCCUUCGGGUUGUAAACUGCUUUUGUACGGAACGAAAAGACUCCUUCUAAUAAAGGGGGUUCAUGACGGUACCGUAAGAAUAAGCACCGGCUAACUACUUGCCACCAGCCGCGGUAAUACUUAGGGUGCAAGCGUUAAUCGGAAUUACUGGGCGUAAAGCGUGCGCAGGCGGUUAUAUUAUACAGAUGUGAAAUCCCCGGGCUCAACCUGGGAACUGCAGUUGUGACUGUA